CAUUUUUUUGACAGGGCGUCCUCUACAUUGGCAGAACUCCGGCAGAAAGGCUGGAGGAAGUCAGGUGACGAAGAACACAGAGCGACAAAGCAAAUAGGGAUUCAUCGUUGUCGAUGAAUGGAUCAAAGACGACGAGCACCCAGGUGACCGGGGUGACUUGUUCUUUUCUGUUGGGGGGGGGGGAUUAAGAUGCUUCGAGUGUGUCUCUGGAGACUACCUCUCCUGCUUUAAACCCGUUGAAUGUCCCUCAUCCAUGGAUCGCUGUUUCACCACUGGCCUUGGUAACUUUUCUUUUUUCUUCAAACAUUUUUUUCUGAGGCGACCCUAGAAGUAUUUAUAAUACACCUGAUUUAUGUUCUUAAGAUCAUAAGUUGUAACAUUACUGUAUUACCAUAUGGAUACUGAAAUGGCCAGUAUAAAAAAUAUGAAUAAUUCUAUCUUGUUUUGCAGGGGAUACCUUGAUCAAGGGAUGUCAAUUCAGUCCUCUGUGUCUCCUGCCAGGGAGCGGUUGCUGCAAAGGCGAUUUGUGGAAUACCAGCAAUAGCAUCGGAUCAAGCUUCAUUCUCCUGCUGUUGUCUACUGCUGCACUGUAUUUCCUCUGAUCUCCUGAAAUCCUGUUCAUGGAGACUAUAUCCUGUUUGCGUUUAGAUUACAUUUAGGGCAUUUAGCAGACGCUUUAUCCAAAGCGACGUACAAUAAUUACAUUUGUCAUAAGAAAGAGGAACAUAACACUGUCGGUAUAGUAAGGAUGUUUCUACAUUUCCGAAGAAGAAUUUCUACGAAGUUCCUAAGAAUAUUCUUUACUGCAAUUCCUCAACAACUUCCUAAUAACGUGUUAAUUGUUCCAAUUUAGUUGUUUUUUUAAAGGGACACUGUCUAAAAAUUACUCCCAUCUAGUGGUACAAUUGUAUAUUGCAUUCAAACUAAUAGUGCUCGCUUGUUCAAAAACUACGGUGGGCAGUAUGUGCCAAGAAGCUGUGUCAUGACAUCCAGUACUACCUCAUCGAGUCAUUGGAGUGAUGAUGAGGUUCGUUAUUUCAAACAAAUAUCAAACUGCAUUGAAUCAUUAGUGUAAGCCAGUGAUUUUCAACCUUUUUUGAGCCGCGGCACACUUUUUACAUUUACAAAAUCCUUGGGCACACCAAAAUGACACAAAAUGACACUCUAACACAGUUCAUAUAAUACAUAUUGUAGUGGCGAUUUGUCCUCAAUAAAACAAUAACUUGAAAAUUAAGAAAUCAAACAAAGCAACGUAAUCAAAAUAGCCACUGUGGCACCAGGGGGGACGAAUCUUACGCAGUGCAGGGGAAAGAGUCAACUGUCCAGUCGUGAAUUUAGAUUUCUGCAGGUUUAUUUUCCGAUCUUCCAAGCAAACAAAACAAAUGUGCAACAGUGUGAACCAGCAGCCUCACUCCUUUGUCUCUCUCGUACAGCUGGUAAAAAACCAUGACCUUCUCAGUGCCUGUCUUACCUAUGUCCGCCACCUCUAUAAAUAGGCUAUAGUAAUAACUUCAAAACAAAAGCAUAAACAAACUCAAAUUAACUAAUUUAUAAUACAAACGAGAAAAUAAACAAAAGUCAUCUUAUUUUAUAUUAAGCAAACAAACUAAAUACAUGUUUUACAAUUAAAUCUAAGAACUUCAUAGCUCCAACACAUAUAGUUAAUAAUAUAGUUUCUAAAUUUAUUUAUACUCACUUAGUGUGAAACCCAGAGGCGUCGUCAGCCCCUUUUUACUGGGGCACGUGCCCCAGUAAAAGUCUCCAGUGCCCCAGUAAAAUUCCAUUGAUCAUUAUUAAAUUAAUCUGCAGAAGCGCCGCUCUCGCUAUGGAAUCGGCAGGAUUCAUCAAGUGAAUCUCCUGCUGCCUCUGGAGUCUUCAGUCGAGCCUGCCUCUUACCAGCCAAUCAAAAAACGAAAGGGGCUACAUAAAAGCCAAUCAGAAAAUACCCCUACUGUAUCUGGGUAAGAUUUAACGCAACAACCAAUGAAAAAAAUCAGUUAUUUACGGAUUCGUCC
This is a long non-coding RNA of Gadus morhua (Atlantic cod), 2015 nucleotides long. The record is from Ensembl. NCBI's taxonomy places the organism in Eukaryota, Metazoa, Chordata, Actinopteri, Gadiformes, Gadidae.